This is a long non-coding RNA of Cyprinus carpio (common carp), 330 nucleotides long. The record is from Ensembl. Lineage: Eukaryota; Metazoa; Chordata; Actinopteri; Cypriniformes; Cyprinidae.
CACUCAGUUUCCCCGGAAUCCGCUGCACUGCCGCCGCAGUCUGACAGAAGAGCGAGCGAGGGUGCAUCAUGACGAGCAACAGGUCGUGUACUGGGAAGAUUUGGUGUUGAUGGAGGAGGCAACAUCUUCAAGGCAAAACCUUAGACCUGAUGCAACAUCAUCCAGUGUCAAAAUCACCCUUUAGGAGGCACUUGAAGACCAGUGCCCAAUAUGCACAGGAACAUUUCCAGUGUCAGAAGUAGACCUGCCAUGCCAGCUUUUGUGGAGACAGGUAAUGGUAAUAGGGACUCACAUUGAAGCUUAAAAACACCUUUCAAAAAAAAAAAAAAA